UUUCAGUACUUCAAUGGUGGAAAUGAUCGUGGAGAAACAGAUCUUCUCGGCUAAAGAUCUUGAGCAGCUUUUGCAGUGUUUUUUGUCACUGAAUUCAUCGAUCAUCAUAAGGUCACCGUUGAAGUUUUCACAGAGAAAUGAUUUCAUGGCCUUUGUUGAUCAUGACCACUGUUGGAUGGUUAAAUUUGGUUCUAUAAAUUUUGCAGGAAGAAGUUCAGUUUUUAAUGAAUCCUGCAGUGAAUAGGCAUCCAAACUUGGUGCAAUUGAUUGGUUAUUGCUGUGAAAAAGAAGUGAGAGGUGUGGUUUAUGACCUUAACCCAAAGGACACCUUGUACAAUUUGACCCUAGCGGGUACAUAUUUACAUAGCAAAAUCCACACAAUUUUUUGAUAUUGUCAAUUUCAUAUUAUUGAAAUCUUUAAUAGAAGGUUUUUGCUAAUGUUAUAGACACCUUGACUUGAGCAAAUAUAGGACAUAUACCUAUUAAAAAAAAAAAAAAUUACCAAGAAAAAUAUUUUAAAAAAACAAUGAUAUAGAUGGAUUAUGGUUAAAAUUUCUUUAUUUUGGAGUAGCAUGUUGAAUAAAAUUGCUUUGUUUUGGAGUAGCACGUUUGAUAUGUAUUAUUACUAUUGGUACAUUUUUUUUUUAACUAGAUAUAACUUUCUAGAAUAGACGAAGAUGGGGGGAAAAAAAAAAACAAAUAUGUUCAUAUUACAUUGUUAGGAGUUAGGACCACCUUUUAUUUGCUAUAGUUUCACCAGAUAAGUUGGGACUUAAUAAAGGAUGAGCAAGGUUGUCUCUGUGUUUGUCUGCCAUGCUUCAUUGGCUAUGCUUAGUGGGUGCUUUACUAAAAUCCAUUUAAUGGUGAAGCAAUAAUAGGGUUUCUUACAUCUCUAUCUCUCAAUAUAAACAAGAAAUCUGUGAGAGUAUCGAAAACCCAAGAAGUAAGUUAAAAAAUAAAAAAUAAAAAAAAAAAUUGGCAGAAUAGAGUAGAGAGAUGCUGUUGAAGAAGGUGGUUUACUAUGAGAAUUGCCCAGGUUGUAAGGUGGAAUAGUACAAAGAGACACAACGUGAUUUACCGAUUCGAGACCUUCUUUUUAUUGGGAUUGUUGUGUUGUGUAAUGGCAUGCUUUUUCUUAUUCUUCUACUGUUUGUUAUUUAUUUAUAUAUCAUUACUAUUUUUUGGCUUUUGGCAUUUCAAAGCAUUGUUGAAUGUUGAUCAUGUUGAUGUUUUGUUUGAUUUAUUGCAUCUGUGAGUGUGUAUUUUGUUCUUUGCUACAUGUUUUCUACUUGUUAGAUUACUGGUGGAUGAAUUUGAUGCUGCAUUUUGGAAGAUUGGCAGAGGUUGACAAGGAAGUAGCAAAAGAAUUUGAUGGAAAACAUUUUCACAUUCUUCCAUCUUCUUGACACUCUGUUUUUGAUAGACAUGCUUUGAAGUAGGAUUGAAUGAAGAUCCAACAAACAUCUUUAACUUUUAUUCAGUUUUGUUCAUCUUUUUGAAGUGCAACUUAUAGCCCUGUUUCUUCUUCUUCUUCUUCAUCCUUUUUUUUUUUUUUUUUUCAAGUUAUUUUAUUUUAUCUGUAAUAGAUUAGACAUUGAUUAUUGUCUUCUUCUUUUUUUCCUUUCCAAACAGAAUUUGGUUGUGCAUCACAAUGAUUUUUUCUUUUUCUUUUUUUCUUAUGGAAAUUAUGCAUAUAUAUAUAUAUAUAUAUAAAGAGUAUAAAACAGGAAUGGAAAAUAAAAAUGAAAUUCAAAAUUUCUUAGGUGGAUUUGCAAUUUUUAUUUAUUUUUUUUAUUUUUGGGUCCAGGUGACAAUUGGAUUGUGUAAAUGCUGGGUUCUAUUGUUUUGAAGGAACAAUUUCAUCUUGGUGCUUGGUUUUUCUAACAAUGUCAGAUCCAUCUAUUAUCGGUCUUGUGAAGCAAAUGUUUAAUGCUGUCUGUUUUGCCAUGUUACUUAGGUCCUACAUGUAAUAAUUUUUUGGUAGAUAUAUCGUAAUUUUUCACUUGAUACCAAUUUCAGUUCUUGCAUUUUAACACGGGAAAUUGUACUAAACUAAACUAGCGUUAGUGGAUGUAUGAAGGUACUAUGUCUAUUUUGUAAUGGGUUGUAUUUGCGCUCUAUGUUUUACAUUUGCUGCAUCUCAGUUUCUGACUUUGGAUGGGAAUCUUUAGCUCGCUAGCUGGUAUCAUAGGGAUUUGUCAUUAUGACAGCUUUAUUUAUGUGGAAAAGUAUAUGAUCUUCUCAUAUUUAGAAAGUUUAGGAAGGAGAUACAUGUAUUUAAAUGUUUCCAAUUCUUAGUGCAUGUGAGUAUGAAAAUCCUAAUUGUUUGGUUUUAUAUUCUUGAAUGAAGUGUUAUGGUAGUAUUCAAAUUGUGUUGACACUAUAUAGGAACAUGCCAUUCACAUUUGUGGAACAGUUGAACUUGAAACAGUACUAAAAUCUUUGGUUUUUCUACUUCUAAAAUUUGAUGCUCUGAAAUGUUGUUUUUUGGAGUUCGCAUUAAGUAUGAACUAAGUUGGGCUAUGUAAUUUGUUUCCUUAUCUAUUAUAUUCUUGAAUGAAGUGUUUGGUAGUGUUUAGGCUGUGUGACGUUGCAUAGGAACUUGGCAACUUACAUAUGUUUUAUGUUUCCAAUUAUUGGUUACUUGAUUCUAAGUUUUUUAGCUUUGUUCUAAGGUGAAUGUCCUUUUUUAAUGGUUCUUGUCCUUGUGAAUAUUUAACUUUUUUGGAAUUGGUGUUUACUCUAUGUAACUUGUUGUUUACUUUAACAGGUUUCCUAAAUUUGUCUAUUAUUAAAUGCAAGAUUUGGGGGUAUUCGGUUGUGUGUUUACAUUGUAUAGGAACUUGGCAUUCAUAGUUUUUGUGCGUUCUCGUUCUGAAAGCUUGGUCUAGAAUAUGUCCAGUAAGAAAGAAGAGAAAGUUCAGGCUACAACUAAAAGGAUUAAGGCUGCAGCCUUCAGUGCAGCAAAUGGUCUUAGUAGAGCUCAGGCAGAGAGAGCUGCUACAGCUGCAGCCUGAAAUAUUAAUGCAUAUGUAUUGUGAACAAAACUCUUGGAAGCUUUUGCCCCAGUAGCAAGCUCUGAGGCUGAAAAGGGAGGAUUCAAAACCUAUGUGAUAGAGGUCCAAGGAAGUCACGUUUACAGCAAAUUAAAAUAGGAGUCUGGAGUUCAUCGGGUUCAACGUGUUCCUCAUAAAUUUUGUAUUUCUCUAGUUGUUUAUUUAUUCAUUGGAUAUUUUGCAUUUUACUUUUUGCUCUUCUAGGCCAUUAACCAAAGUUUGUUCAAUUGUAUUCUUAAAUGCACGUUGACACUGACUGUUAUUAUGUUUUCACUCAAUUUGUAAAUAUGAUUGAUUGAGUUUAUAUGUCAAUAAAUUCUCCUAGCAAAACUCAAGUAGGCUGUUUCAUA
This is a long non-coding RNA of Ziziphus jujuba (common jujube), 3406 nucleotides long. RefSeq lists it as uncharacterized. Lineage: Eukaryota; Viridiplantae; Streptophyta; Magnoliopsida; Rosales; Rhamnaceae. The record is from RefSeq and is a predicted model, not a curated record. The transcript has 4 exons.